CUGAGUCGUGUAUCUACACAAAAGCUUCCCUUGCAUCUCUCUGUUCCGCUACUGUUGUCAAGGUUUUUAUAUCCAUUACUACUGCAGUGAUUGAAUUUGACUGCAAAUAUUGACUGUUUGAGUUGUCAAUCUGUGAGAGGGUGCAGGUGGUCUGUCAGAGGGAUAUUUUAUUGCAAACAGAUUUGUCAUCAGACACAACCACCACCUGUUGGUUCAGCCACAUCCUCUGGUAUGUCCGUUGCACCUGCACAGCUAGGGAGGUGUGGCCAGAGCAACUUACGAGACUGAAGCAGCAUAAUGCCCGAAGAGCAUAAAACCACGUAGGCCUAACACUCUGGAACCUCAGGGCUAAUCUGCGGAGGCGUACAGUCACACCUGUUUAGUAAAAACAAGACGGUCAUUAAUGAACCUAAUGGGUCUUGUUUGGAACACAGAGCAGGUUGAGUUUGUUCCACCUGACUGUGAAAGCUCUCUCUACCACUCUUCAUCAUCAUCAUCAUCUCUCUCCCCAGAGCAACAGCCCUAUCCAUUUAUAUUACACCUGUCAGUGGACUGGACUGUUGUGUAUAGAGGUUUUGUGUUAGUUUGCCCGAGUGUAUGUUUUCUACAUAUAUAUGUAUUCCCGUGUGGCACAGCAGUGGUGGAAGAA
This is a long non-coding RNA of Oncorhynchus tshawytscha (Chinook salmon), 649 nucleotides long. Lineage: Eukaryota; Metazoa; Chordata; Actinopteri; Salmoniformes; Salmonidae. The record is from Ensembl.